ACGAGAGUAGCGGCGCCGGUAAAAGGUCAGCGAAAGUCGCGUGACGCAGUGGUGCGUUGCAAGCACACGGAAGAAGCCGAUGCCGGAGUUGGUUUGACUUACUUCAGGGGUGCGAAGGAAGAAAGAAUGUCACUAUGGCGGAUUCCGGUCUCACCAAGGAACAUAAAGCCUCCGACGAAGUUAUUCAGCUUCCCGACACUCCAGUAGAACGUGGAGGACGGUCCGCCUCUCCCCGCAUCUACCACAGGUUGGAGGCUCGUUUCCUAUUUUGCACAUGAUCCUGAUUAUGCUGCGUGGUCGCCAUCUCAGUUCACAUCUUGCAAUGGAGUGUGUGAGCAAACCGCUCCGAGGGGUGGCUAUCGACAGCACAUCUUGCACAGAAUUCAUGCAAGAGCUUCGUGGCGACAAGGAAGCCGACGAGCCCGAUCAAGAUUGGGAACUAUUGGAGUCUUCUGAAGAUUAUCUCGUUUUCUCGCAACCCACAAGCAUUUCCACGACAGUGCUCGAAGUGAAAAACAUGUCGGUUUUCCUGUGCGGAAGCGCUGGCCCAAUAUAUUUGCUAUAAUAUCCAGUAACAAGCACAUUAGAUGCCUCAUGAAGUUCUUGCUUGUUGUUAAUUUAUUACGAGCAGCAGACAUAGCCAGACGCAGACGACGACUUCAUGUAUAGGGCACACUUGUGCAAUUUUAUAAUAUCGCAUGAACGUCAACCGGACUGGAAAUCAGGGCCGUAUGACGAAGUGUAUCAAUGAAACAAUCGAGAAUGCACGCGCGCAUGCGUAAAGCUUAGCCCAGAGCAUGUGUCCUCGGCAAGGCUUUACUGCUAGAAAUAUGCUUCACAUAUCAACUUUUACUGCUUUGUUUUCCUGUCCUUUC
Non-coding RNA from Dermacentor albipictus, 875 nucleotides. NCBI's taxonomy places the organism in Eukaryota, Metazoa, Arthropoda, Arachnida, Ixodida, Ixodidae. The record is from RefSeq and is a predicted model, not a curated record.